ACUUUACUAGAUACCCUCUGUCUUUCUUGCUCUCUCAAGCCACUGCAGAUUAGUAAGUUCUCUAUUUUGGCGGCAAGAGGAGAAGGAGAUUCUGCAACAGUAAUAGAAGGAGAGCGUUCUUCAAAUUCUGAAUCUUCAAAUCCAGACAUCAACAAGUCGUUAAUGACCCUAGACGAGAAGUACAAGAUAGCAAGGAGCAAAUGGGAGGAAUGCACUCAAGAGCAUGAGUUGUGGAAUCUCCUUAAAAUUCAGUCUGAAUAUGUUAUGAUGGUUUUGGGCAUCCGGAAGGAUGCACAUUGCACAAGUAAGUUUUGUAUUCAUAUCUCCUACGACAAUGAUGCUAAGUAUAUUUUUGUUUGUGCCUGAUUCAUUGUUGCCUAGGUGUUAUGAAGGUGAUAAAUGUGAAUAUAACAUACUGGGGAUGCUGAGUAUGGAUAUAUUUUGCUAAUAGAUGGUGACUUGUCUAAAUUUAGAGUGGUCGGUGAAUAUUUUAUCGAAAUUUGGAAGGCUAUUAGGUGAAUAGUUUCCGAAAUAGCUCGUCUGAAUGGUGUCACAGUAAUGACAGGGGUGUAGUGUCUGUUUGAAUGUUUUCCUUCGAUGACUCUGUUUUAUUAUUUGCUAUGACAUUUUCGCAACUUGGUGUAGAUAUGGUCAAUUAAUGGAUCAGAAUGAUCAGGAGGAGUUGGCUGAUUCCCGAAUUAUGUAGCCUUGAAUGGUGCUGAUAUCUUUUUCCUUGAGUUAUUCUGUUACUUCUUGGAUCAAAGAACUACUGAUUUAAAGUCCUUAUACUUUUAUCUCUUAAACCUGUCCUAUUGGAUAGGAUUGUUGAUAGUUUAGUAGGUAAACAUCAGAAAUAUAAUCUACCAUUCUUGUACAUAUUCAAAGGACAAGCUAAUUGUUGCGAGCCCACAGGGAGCAUGAUUGGUGAAAAGGACUUUUAAAACCUUGGAACAAAGUUUAACAGGAUGUUAACAUUCCACAUGUUUCUCAAUCAACCCUUGUUUUUUCUGUUGUUUUUGACUGGCUGACAUCUGUCAGAUGGGUUUGGAUCAGCAUAUUGCAAUGAUAAAAAGCUAGAGAACGAGCCUAUUAUCUUGUCACACUGUAUACCUCUUACUAGUACUGCUUCAUGUUUUGACCUGAGUUAUCUUAAUCUCUGUAUCACUACAUCUGGAUAUCUAUCUUUUUGCUUCUUCAGCAGUCAAAGGAGUUGUUGGCUCUGCAUCUCUUUGUUUAUAAGCUUUAGGUGGAGUUUGACUCAUUCUGUUGGACCUCCAAAAGCUUCGAAAUUUCCGACUUUGAAAAAAGGGGAAUUGUACCCUGCUGACUUAUAACCAGUUUGGUAUAUUAAAAACAUAGUUAAAUUUGAGUUUUGUUUUUAUAUGAAGUUAGUCUUAGUGUAGAAGCUUCUUAUUUUGAAGUUGCAAUCUAGAGUUAUCUUCUACAGGAAACUAGGAGUUACAGAACUCAGUACAGUGUUAAUGUCAUGUUUUUAAUUUUCUAAUGUAGCCAAUAAAUUGGCAUGAUGUAAGUGCUGUAGAUAAGAAAUCAGACUAAAAGUUAGAAGAGUUGCUCAAUAUCUUACCUGACCUUUUUUUUUCCGCUGUGUCAACCGGGUAAAUAAAGUUGUGAAGCAUGAGGUUUGGCUUGUAAAGCCUUUUCAUGUAAGUUCAAGAAACACACCCGGAGGGAUGGAUGCUGUUCAAGCUUCCUGGUUCAAUUGUUUUCACACUGUCUCUUGUUGUUUCACUUAUGUUGUGGGAAGUGGGAACUGUUUAAUUGACUUUGUGGACCUUAGAUCGAGCUGCAUUACUCUAAUAGACAUUCAGCUCAUGACUUAUACCGGAAAGCUUCUCUUUUGGGUGCCCCAUAUAAACAAUGAAGUAAGCGGCUUCCUGAUUUGGUUUCUUAACUUUUACUUGGAUAAAAUCCUUACGUUUUAAAUGUCCGUGUCCUUUCUUUAGAUUGAUUAUUCACUCUUUUGUAAGCCUUGAGCCAAAACAUUGGCUAACAGUUGUUAUCUGUAAUGCUUUCCUUUUAUUAUGUGCAGCCUAAUAGUGACGGCAGAGCAAAAGAUCUACUGAGAAGGGUGAAGAGCUACAAUGUCACAAUGUGAUGUUCAGGAAGAGCCCUUUUCUCGUUUCCUAUGGGUUUAUCAUUCAAACGUACUAAUCUUUCAAUGUGGAUGGUGUGAUCAAACAUUUUAAAGUUUGAAAAUAAUUUGUUCUACUGUUUUAAUGACGAUUUUGUAAUCUGAAUUUUGGGUGGAAUCAAGAGAAGUGAUUUAAGUAGCUCAGUACAAUUUUAUUAUCAGCUGGGUCAGAUCGACAGGAAAUUCCGAUCCUCGAAUUUGUCAUGUGACCCCAAAAUUUA
Papaver somniferum (opium poppy) is the source of this 2373-nucleotide long non-coding RNA. RefSeq lists it as uncharacterized. Lineage: Eukaryota; Viridiplantae; Streptophyta; Magnoliopsida; Ranunculales; Papaveraceae. The record is from RefSeq and is a predicted model, not a curated record. The transcript is spliced from 3 exons.